GAGAAGUCAACUUUGCUCACUCCACCUCAGCGGCUGGUCAGCGCACAUCCCCACCAGGAGAGAGAGAGCAAGAGAGAGAGAGAGAGAGAGAGAGAGAGAGAGAGAGAGAGAGAGAGAGAGAGAGAGAGAGAGAGAGAGAGAGAGAGAGAGAGAGAGAGAGAGAGAGAGAGAGAGA
Molecule: long non-coding RNA, 175 nt
Organism: Portunus trituberculatus (swimming crab)
Lineage: Eukaryota; Metazoa; Arthropoda; Malacostraca; Decapoda; Portunidae
Exons: 2
Source: RefSeq, a predicted model, not a curated record